RNAcentral lists this long non-coding RNA (341 nucleotides) under Cricetulus griseus (Chinese hamster). RNAcentral's name for it is "lncRNA (ENSCGRG00015035381.1)". The record is from RNAcentral. Lineage: Eukaryota; Metazoa; Chordata; Mammalia; Rodentia; Cricetidae.
CCAGCUUCAGUUCCUCUCCUCACAGCCUAGCUUGUUCUCUACCCUGGCUGCCAUCUAGGAUGAGUGGCUGGCUCAGACCCUAGUGUCAGCGCCCUAAUCCCCACCGGGCCAGGCACCGGUGCUGUGUUGUGCGGGCACGCUCUCUGGAAGUUUCUACAUCCAGAAACUUCCACCAUCGAAACAGUCUGGGACAAAAUACGAAUAUAUUUGGGUCGUGCAUUGCAGCAUUAGGAAGGCUGAAAACCACUGUUGUAUAAAAAACGCAGUUUUCAUAUUCUGGAGGUGGUGAGUGAGCGGUUGUCACUUGGGCUGGAAUGCAGGGUACACCACUUAGUCAUGUC